ACGCUCGACACCUACGGGAGGCAGCAGUGGGGAAUAUUGGGCAAUGGGCGCAAGCCUGACCCAGCAACGCCGCGUGAAGGAUGAAGGCUUUCGGGUUGUAAACUUCUUUUAUUCGGGACGAAGAAAAUGACGGUACCGAAUGAAUAAGCCACGGCUAACUACGUGCCAACAGCCGCGGUAAUCUGAGCGGGCUGGCAAGGC
RNAcentral lists this ribosomal RNA (201 nucleotides) under uncultured bacterium. RNAcentral's name for it is "partial 16S ribosomal RNA". It matches the Rfam family "Bacterial small subunit ribosomal RNA", at positions 328 to 539 of the family's 1533-position model. The record is from RNAcentral.